CCGGUUAUAAUUUGGUUCAGUGAUUUGAGGUAAAAUUAAAAACCAAGCUGUCAAAAAUGGUGAAGGUAGGUGGUGUUGGUUUCCAAGAUUCAGUUUAAAGUUGUUUUUGUUCAAUCAUCUUUGUUUUAGACCCAACUGUGGUUCAAGGGAGGCUGGGGACCAACCGUAAAUUCAGACAGGUUUUGAUUGCAACCAUAAUUGACAGGUCCUGGUCUUACCGGAUACUUGUAAUUUGCAGGGCAAUAGUUGGACUUUUAUACUCUAUUCGAGGAUUACAUUAUUCCGUUUUCAGGUGGUAGAAAAACUUAGAGUGGAUUCAUGGCAUAACGGGGACUCAAUUACAUGGACCAUUAGGACAUUCGGUUUUUAUUUUUUAUUUAUUUUUUAUGUUUGAUUUUCAGAUUGUUAUGUCAAGUUUAUGCAUAUUUUUUAUUCUUAUUUUUAUUGAGGUUCAUUUAGGAUUAUUCUAUUUUGUGGGCUAUUUAUAUCCCAUUGGUUUGGAUGAUAUUGAUUAGGGUUGGUUUUUCCGUUUAUACUUGUGACUUGUAACUGGAUUGGGCUUUGAUUUAUUUA
Non-coding RNA from Camellia sinensis, 573 nucleotides. The record is from RefSeq and is a predicted model, not a curated record. Lineage: Eukaryota; Viridiplantae; Streptophyta; Magnoliopsida; Ericales; Theaceae.